Molecule: long non-coding RNA, 1515 nt
Filed under: Triticum aestivum (bread wheat)
Lineage: Eukaryota; Viridiplantae; Streptophyta; Magnoliopsida; Poales; Poaceae
Description: long non-coding RNA (TAES_LNC012574)
Source: RNAcentral
UUUUGUGAAUGUGUGAUGCGUGCCUUAGGACUUCCUGCUGUCUUGUAGGUAUGCCCUUGGUUAGAAAGUUCUUGUUUCUGUCAGAGAGGUAGAACUGUCAUCUGCAUCAUCUACUUAAAGGGCAACCUGGUGCCUGCAUCAUCUACUUACUCCACGAAAAUUGAUUAAACGGUCUACCACAUCAUAUGCUAAAGAAUGAAAUCGCAGAGACUAAUAAGAAGAGGGACAAACACUGCAAUUUGGGACCCCAGAUAAAUGGCGGGUUUACCUUGUGGGGGCAGUAUGACGCCUGUAGCUGAUCUCUGAAGGUUGAUCCCUCAUAGUGGGACUCAGAUCCUGCUGUCCCACAGUAUGGAAACAAACCCUUAAAGGAUCCGAGUCCAUACUUCCUCAACUUCCUCAACUUUGCAGAAUCACAUGUUCGAAGCAGUAUUCAGUCACACGUCUGGUUACAAUCGAACAAUUGGACUGCAAUGCCUGCAGAUUUUCACUUGAUGAGAUUCUGUUUUCUAAGAUUAAAUACAAGCAAGAAAACAGACAUUCACCUCCAAUUACAUCGAUCGGGCUUUGCCUUGGUCUUCAAAUUUAAAAUGCAGAACUGUAAUAUGUAUGUAUGUUGUUGGUAUGGUUCUUCCUAUUCUGGAAAUUGAACAUACAUGAGGAAUCUGCAGACUUUAUAUUUCAGCUUGCAUUCUCUUUUUACAUGAAGAAAAAUGAAGUAAAUACUUGUAAGCAAUAAGUGUUACCUUGGAUUCCUACUCGUAGAUCUGGGCGUACUUCGUGUAGCUAGCAAUUUGAAUGCAUGAGAUUAUGUGAUUGUGCCAGCGAGCCUGUCAACCAGAAUGCAGAAGUCUGGGUCGUGAAAAUGCAUUGUUGAUUAGUUGUGUACUUACUGCUGGAGCUAAAAUGGUCGUAGUUCUUGUGCCUUAACUCAUCACAUGCAGUCCUCCUGCAUAGUUUGAAAAAAGAAAUAAUUCACAAAUCAAUAUUAAGGAAGACAGAUAAUGGUAAGAUAAGAAAAGCUAGCUAGCCAACGGCAGAAGGACUCUUUCGGUUACCUGGCUUGUAAUAAUCAUCAUCCAGUCGCUCCCAAAAUUAUUCAGUACAGGGCCAAAAUCACAAUCGUCAGUCUCAUGCAAAUCUUUAAUCUCCCAUGCCGUUGGAUACACAUCAGGCCUAAAAAAAUUAUGCAAAAAAAUAAUCAAGUAUGAGAUGUAAGAUUCAGAGUACAGUCUUUAGAAAGAUAAGUUUUCUUUCACAACAAAAGCCAUCUAAACCAAGUCUGAUGCCCACUAAAAACCAUCUAAAGAGGCAAUGUAAUUGACCAAUGGAUUGUUAUCUUACUUCAUUCAUGGAGUCCACAAGUGGGAUCAGAUGAGAAACUGAAGGUGGUGUUCCACUCUCUAUCCGUGCAAGAAUGCAAUCUUGCAUUCAAUACAUUAAUUACUCAGUAAAAAAAGCUUAUUGGUGCUUGCCGAACGGUUUGAGGCAUCAGAUAUGGGAAGGAGAUCUCAC